Molecule: non-coding RNA, 68 nt
Filed under: Moellerella wisconsensis ATCC 35017
Lineage: Bacteria; Pseudomonadati; Pseudomonadota; Gammaproteobacteria; Enterobacterales; Morganellaceae
Source: RNAcentral
ACCAACACGACAUUGCUCACAUUGCUUCCAGUAUUUCUUAUAGCCAGCUUGGGUGCUGGCUUUUUUUU